Molecule: ribosomal RNA, 424 nt
Filed under: uncultured bacterium
Lineage: Bacteria
Description: bacterial SSU rRNA
Rfam family: Bacterial small subunit ribosomal RNA
Source: RNAcentral
UGGGGAAUCUUGGACAAUGGGGGAAACCCUGAUCCAGCCAUGCCGCGUGAGUGAUGAAGGCCUUCGGGUUGUAAAACUCUUUCGCGCACGACGAUAAUGACGGUAGUGCGAGAAGAAGCCCCGGCUAACUUCGUGCCAGCAGCCGCGGUAAUACGAAGGGGGCUAGCGUUGUUCGGAAUUACUGGGCGUAAAGCGCGCGCAGGUGGCUUUCCAAGUCAGUGGUGAAAGCCCGGAGCUCAACUCCGGAAAUGCCAUUGAAACUGGUUGGCUUGAGUAUGGGAGAGGUGAGUGGAAUUCCGAGUGUAGAGGUGAAAUUCGUAGAUAUUCGGAAGAACACCAGUGGCGAAGGCGGCUCACUGGCCCAUUACUGACACUGAGGCGCGACAGCGUGGGGAUCAAACAGGAUUAGAUACCCCCGUAGUCC